RNAcentral lists this ribosomal RNA (587 nucleotides) under uncultured marine eukaryote. RNAcentral's name for it is "SSU rRNA". It matches the Rfam family "Eukaryotic small subunit ribosomal RNA", at positions 613 to 1201 of the family's 1831-position model. The record is from RNAcentral.
UUGUGGUUAAAAAGCUCGUAGUUGGAUCUCGGCGGACUGAGGGCGGUUUGCUUGCUAGUAUUACUGCCCUAUAGUCCGUAGUUUUGCCAGAGGUUUCGGGGUGCUCUUAAUCGAGUGUCCCGGGAUGCUGGCAGGUUUACUUUGAAAAAAUUAGAGUGCUCAAAGCAGGCUAUUACGCCUGAAUAUUCGUGCCUGGAAUAAUAGAAUAGGAAGUCGUUUCUAUUUUGUUGGUUUUCGGAAAUCGACUUAAUGAUUAAUAGGGACAGUCGGGGGCAUUUGUAUUCAAACGACAGAGGUGAAAUUCUUGGACCGUUUGAAGACAAACUACUGCGAAAGCAUUUGCCAAGAAUGUUUUCAUUAAUCAAGAACGAAAGUUAAAGGUUCGAAGGCGAUUAGAUACCGCCCUAGUUUUAACCAUAAACGAUGCCAGCUAGCGAUCUGCGGACGUUUUUUUUGUAGACUCCGCAGGAAGCUUCCGGGAAACCAAAGCAUUUGGGUUCCAGGGGAAGUAUGGUUGCAAAGCUGAAACUUAAAGGAAUUGACGGAAAGGCACCACCAGGAGUGGAGCCUGUGGCUUAAUUUGACUC